RNAcentral lists this transfer RNA (78 nucleotides) under Quasipaa boulengeri (spiny-bellied frog). RNAcentral describes it as "tRNA-Met". The stretch from base 1 to 69 matches the Rfam family "tRNA". Rfam says of the family: Transfer RNA (tRNA) molecules are approximately 80 nucleotides in length. Their secondary structure includes four short double-helical elements and three loops (D, anti-codon, and T loops). Further hydrogen bonds mediate the characteristic L-shaped molecular structure. tRNAs have two regions of fundamental functional importance: the anti-codon, which is responsible for specific mRNA codon recognition, and the 3' end, to which the tRNAs corresponding amino acid is attached (by aminoacyl-tRNA synthetases). tRNAs cope with the degeneracy of the genetic code in two manners: having more than one tRNA (with a specific anti-codon) for a particular amino acid; and 'wobble' base-pairing, i.e. permitting non-standard base-pairing at the 3rd anti-codon position. The record is from RNAcentral. Lineage: Eukaryota; Metazoa; Chordata; Amphibia; Anura; Dicroglossidae.
AGUAAGGUCAGCUAAUUAAGCUCUUGGGCUCAUGCCCCAACAAUGUUGGUUAAAGUCCUUCCCCUGCUAAACAAGUAA